GACGAACGCUGGCGGUGUGCUUAACACAUGCAAGUCGAACGGUAAGGCCCUUUCGGGGGUACACGAGUGGCGAACGGGUGAGUAACACGUGAGUAACCUGCCCUCAUCUCUGGGAUAACAGUCGGAAACGGUUGCUAAUACUGGAUAUGAGCUUGCAAGGCAUCUUGUGGGUUGGAAAGAUUUUUUUGGUUGGGGAUGGACUCGCGGCCUAUCAGCUUGUUGGUGAGGUAGUGGCUCACCAAGGCUUCGACGGGUAGCCGGCCUGAGAGGGCGACCGGCCACAUUGGGACUGAGAUACGGCCCAAACUCCUACGGGGGGCAGCAGUGGGGAAUAUUGCACAAUGGACGGGAGUCUGAUGCAGCAACGCCGCGUGCGGGAUGACGGCCUUCGGGUUGUAAACCGCUUUCAAUUGUGACGAAGCUUUUUGUGACGGUAGCAGUAGAAGAAGCACCGGCUAACUACGUG
RNAcentral lists this ribosomal RNA (466 nucleotides) under uncultured bacterium. RNAcentral's name for it is "partial 16S ribosomal RNA". It matches the Rfam family "Bacterial small subunit ribosomal RNA", at positions 28 to 507 of the family's 1533-position model. The record is from RNAcentral.